GAAGAAGCGUCAACACGACAAUAUGAAAAUAAAUUGGAAAGCAUCCAGUGAAGAGGAUGAUAAAAACUUAUAGGAUCCCUCGACACGGAAAACGGAACUAAGGGCUGUGUAAAAUUUGUCAAAGAUGAAGAGGGAAUACAAGAGAGAGGUUCGAGAGACUCUGCAAUGUCUAAUUUAGGGUGGGUGAUGGAAGUUAUGAUACAUUUUAUAGCAUAAAACAACCGUUCAUAUGGUGCUUGUGUAAAACAAGAUGAAACAGUGUUACUGAGCAUAGCUACCCUUUGCAUUACAAACAAUAUAUUUUUCCCAUGAGGAAAAUCCCACUGUACGUGACUGAGUAUUGCCCGUUGUUGUGGAAUCACACCUUGGAACACCCGUAACAAAUCAAUAUA
Molecule: non-coding RNA, 392 nt
Organism: Schizosaccharomyces pombe (fission yeast)
Lineage: Eukaryota; Fungi; Ascomycota; Schizosaccharomycetes; Schizosaccharomycetales; Schizosaccharomycetaceae
Source: the annotation of a GenBank genome assembly